RNAcentral lists this ribosomal RNA (253 nucleotides) under uncultured bacterium. RNAcentral describes it as "partial 16S ribosomal RNA". It matches the Rfam family "Bacterial small subunit ribosomal RNA", at positions 524 to 776 of the family's 1533-position model. The record is from RNAcentral.
UACAGAGGUGGCAAGCGUUGUUCGGAAUUACUGGGCGUAAAGGGCGCGUAGGCGGCCUUCUAAGUCAGACGUGAAAUCCCCCGGCUUAACCUGGGAACUGCGUCUGAUACUGGAAGGCUUGAGUGCGGGAGAGGGAUGUGGAAUUCCAGGUGUAGCGGUGAAAUGCGUAGAUAUCCGGAGGAACACCGGUGGCGAAGGCGGCUUCCUGGACCGACACUGACGCUGAGGCGCGAAAGCUAGGGGAGCAAACGGG